UUACGACUGUCGGCAACGGAUAUCUAGGCUCUCGCAUCGAUGAAGAACGUAGCAAAAUGCGAUACUUGGUGUGAAUUGCAGAAUCCCGUGAAUCAUCGAGUCUUUGAACGCAAGUUGCGCCCGAAGCCUUC
Molecule: ribosomal RNA, 131 nt
Filed under: Galium dahuricum
Lineage: Eukaryota; Viridiplantae; Streptophyta; Magnoliopsida; Gentianales; Rubiaceae
Also listed under: 1 other name
Description: 5.8S ribosomal RNA
Rfam family: 5.8S ribosomal RNA
About the family: 5.8S ribosomal RNA (5.8S rRNA) is a component of the large subunit of the eukaryotic ribosome. It is transcribed by RNA polymerase I as part of the 45S precursor that also contains 18S and 28S rRNA.
Source: RNAcentral